RNAcentral lists this ribosomal RNA (312 nucleotides) under uncultured bacterium. RNAcentral describes it as "bacterial SSU rRNA". It matches the Rfam family "Bacterial small subunit ribosomal RNA", at positions 28 to 350 of the family's 1533-position model. The record is from RNAcentral.
GAUAAACGCUGGCGGCGUGCCUAACACAUGCAAGUCGAACGCCCUUUUGCGCAAGUGAGAGGGAGUGGCGGACGGGUGAGUACCACGUGGGUACCUACCUUGAGGUGAGGAAUACCACCGAGAAAUCGGUGACAAGACCGCAUACGCUCGGGCAACCGAGCAAAGUCAUGCAAAUGACGCCACAAGAUGAGCCUGCGCCUGAUUAGCUGGUUGGUGAGGUAACAGCUCACCAAGGCGACGAUCAGUAGCUGGUCUGAGAGGAUGAUCAGCCACACUGGGAUUGAGAACGGCCCAGACUCCGUACGGGGGCGA